AUAAUAAAUUUAAAUACUAAGAUUUUAUUUGUUUGUCAUGAUUAAUUUUAAAAGUAUUGGCGGUAUUUAGUUAAAUUCUGAGGAACUUGUCUAUUUAAAUUGAUAUUACUCAUUAAAUUUUAUCUAUAAUAAAUUUUAUGUAUUGCUGUUUAAUUUAUUAUUUAAUAUUUAAAAUAAGUUUAAUUAAUUUUUUUUUAGGAAGUUCAAGUCAAAAUGUAGAUUUUUAUAGGGUUAGAUGAGUUACGUUUAUAGUGAAAUGUGAAGCUGUAAAUUUAAUUGUAAUAUUAUUGAAUUGAAGGUAGGAUUAGGUAGUAAAAAGAAAAUAAUUAGUUUUUUUGAUAUUUUUUACUAGUAUGU
This 357-nucleotide ribosomal RNA is filed under the name Draculoides eremius. RNAcentral describes it as "partial small subunit ribosomal RNA". Lineage: Eukaryota; Metazoa; Arthropoda; Arachnida; Schizomida; Hubbardiidae. The record is from RNAcentral.